Molecule: ribosomal RNA, 434 nt
Filed under: uncultured Lachnospiraceae bacterium
Lineage: Bacteria; Bacillati; Bacillota; Clostridia; Lachnospirales; Lachnospiraceae
Description: bacterial SSU rRNA
Rfam family: Bacterial small subunit ribosomal RNA
Source: RNAcentral
ACGGAAGGCAGCAGUGGGGAAUAUUGCACAAUGGGGGAAACCCUGAUGCAGCGACGCCGCGUGAGUGAAGAAGUAUCUCGGUAUGUAAAGCUCUAUCAGCAGGGAAGAAAAUGACGGUACCUGACUAAGAAGCCCCGGCUAACUACGUGCCAGCAGCCGCGGUAAUACGUAGGGGGCAAGCGUUAUCCGGAUUUACUGGGUGUAAGGGGAGCGUAGACGGUUCUGCAAGUCUGAUGUGAAAGGCAGGGGCUCAACUCCUGGACUGCAUUGGAAACUGUAGAACUAGAGUGCCGGAGAGGUAAGCGGAAUUCCUAGUGUAGCGGUGAAAUGCGUAGAUAUUAGGAGGAACACCAGUGGCGAAGGCGGCUUACUGGACGGUAACUGACGUUGAGGCUCGAAAGCGUGGGGAGCAAACAGGAUUAGAUACCCUGGUA